GGGGGUGUAGCUCAGUGGUAGAACGUAAGACCCUGGGUUCAAUCUCCAGCACCACCA
Molecule: transfer RNA, 57 nt
Filed under: Ictidomys tridecemlineatus (thirteen-lined ground squirrel)
Lineage: Eukaryota; Metazoa; Chordata; Mammalia; Rodentia; Sciuridae
Description: Spermophilus tridecemlineatus (thirteen-lined ground squirrel) tRNA
Rfam family: tRNA
About the family: Transfer RNA (tRNA) molecules are approximately 80 nucleotides in length. Their secondary structure includes four short double-helical elements and three loops (D, anti-codon, and T loops). Further hydrogen bonds mediate the characteristic L-shaped molecular structure. tRNAs have two regions of fundamental functional importance: the anti-codon, which is responsible for specific mRNA codon recognition, and the 3' end, to which the tRNAs corresponding amino acid is attached (by aminoacyl-tRNA synthetases). tRNAs cope with the degeneracy of the genetic code in two manners: having more than one tRNA (with a specific anti-codon) for a particular amino acid; and 'wobble' base-pairing, i.e. permitting non-standard base-pairing at the 3rd anti-codon position.
Source: Rfam by way of RNAcentral